AUUUAUUAGAGAGAGGCAGAAAUGAUCCUGUGCCUAAAUUUUUUAUUCUUACUUGUACUGUUCAGAGGAGUCCAAUGUCAAGUACAGUUGGUGGAGUCUGGAGGCGACCUGAGAAGACCUGGGGAGUCCCUCCGUCUCUCCUGCCAAGGCUCUGGAUUCAGCUUUAGCGGCUACUACAUGGGCUGGGUGAGACAAGCUCCAGGGAAAGGCCUGGAAUGGGUUGCACACAUCUAUUAUGAUUCCAGUGAAAAGUUCUACUCAGACAAAGUGAAGGGACGCUUCACCAUCUCCAUCGACAAUGCCAAAAGGCAGUUAUAUCUGCAAAUGAACAGUCUCAAACCAGAGGAUACGGCGGUCUAUUACUGUGCGAGAUACACAGUGAGAGGAAGUGACUCUGAAGCCUGUCAAGAACUUUCUCUACUCUAA
Molecule: non-coding RNA, 426 nt
Organism: Pantherophis guttatus
Lineage: Eukaryota; Metazoa; Chordata; Lepidosauria; Squamata; Colubridae
Source: the annotation of a RefSeq genome assembly